CUGGGAUAAUGAAAAGCUGGUACCAUGGAUCUGUCUCUUGCCCAGUGGGGCGAGCUGGGCCCUCCCUGGAGAAGAAACCUGGGUUUCACAAGUUAUGUGAUCAAUGCUGGGGCCGUGCCAGCAUGCGAGGGGAUCCCAAGGCAGGUGCUGGGCAUGCAGGCCACAGAGGAAUAGGCUUCCAAGGAGACAGAACUGAACCUCACAUCACCCUGCUUGGCCCCAGAGGAUGGCUGUUUAGCCAGAGACAGGUACGAUUCCACAGGGAAGGAACAACCUAAGAUAGGCACAGCACAGAGGGGCCAUCAGGAGAGAACUUGGGGUU
Molecule: long non-coding RNA, 322 nt
Organism: Pipistrellus kuhlii (Kuhl's pipistrelle)
Lineage: Eukaryota; Metazoa; Chordata; Mammalia; Chiroptera; Vespertilionidae
Exons: 3
Source: RefSeq, a predicted model, not a curated record